Molecule: ribosomal RNA, 115 nt
Filed under: Chinchilla lanigera (long-tailed chinchilla)
Lineage: Eukaryota; Metazoa; Chordata; Mammalia; Rodentia; Chinchillidae
Source: RNAcentral
GUCUAUGGCCAUACUAUCCUGAAUGUGCCUGAUCUCAUCUGAUCUCAGAAACUAAGCAGGGUUGGGCCUAGUUAGAACUUGGAUGGGAGAUCCAAGCUAAAUGAAAAUGAAGUCC